RNAcentral lists this ribosomal RNA (253 nucleotides) under uncultured bacterium. RNAcentral's name for it is "partial 16S ribosomal RNA". It matches the Rfam family "Bacterial small subunit ribosomal RNA", at positions 524 to 776 of the family's 1533-position model. The record is from RNAcentral.
UACAGAGGUGGCAAGCGUUGUUCGGAAUUACUGGGCGUAAAGGGCGCGUAGGUGGCCUACUAAGUCAGACGUGAAAUCCCCCGGCUUAACCUGGGAACUGCGUCUGAUACUGGAAGGCUUGAGGAUGGGAGAGGGAUGUAGAAUUCCAGGUGUAGCGGUGAAAUGCGUAGAUAUCUGGAGGAAUACCGGUGGCGAAGGCGGCAUCCUGGACCAUUACUGACGCUGAGGCGCGAAAGCUAGGGGAGCAAACGGG